Long non-coding RNA from Perognathus longimembris pacificus (Pacific pocket mouse), 1764 nucleotides. RefSeq lists it as uncharacterized. The record is from RefSeq and is a predicted model, not a curated record. The transcript has 2 exons. NCBI's taxonomy places the organism in Eukaryota, Metazoa, Chordata, Mammalia, Rodentia, Heteromyidae.
AAAAAUCAAAAUUAAAAAAAAACAAAACACCAACCCUAGAACCUAAGCUAUGUAGCAUAGGACAUAGGAACGCCUCUGACUACUGGGGAGCCUGGACUAGGAAGGUCACGUGUGCCCUAAUGGGCUGAGCCAACUGAUGGGUUACAGGAAGCUAACAAACGGCAGAGGCACUUCCUUUGGAUUCUCUGCUGCCAGGUAGCAUGGCUUUCUAGAGUGUAGCUCUAAACUUGCCUCUAGAACUUACUUUUCAUUCAUAAUUGGCUCAGGUACUGUAGAAGGGUCUGGUCUUGAAAAUGGAGCCCUUCGGUAAAUUUAACCCAGAGGGAGUAAGGAAAUCAAAAGCACGUGGAAAGGUGGUCAGGGCCAAUAGAGAAGUAUGCAUAGUUAAGAAACAUCACAUUGAAUCCUGUAGUCCACUACUUCAUCAAAGCAACAACAAAAGACCUCAUCAUGCCCCCAGUUCACCUCCAUCCAUCCAUAUCUAAAGAGCUGCUCUUAACAGACCAACUGCAGAUAGCAGUUGGACAGACACCAGGCCGCAAGAGUUCAGUCUAGCCGCCCCUCCUCCAGCCACCACUCCAGUAACCAGCUGGGAAAGUGUUCAGAAAACCCGCAUCCUGACACAUCACUGCCAGACAACUUAAACAGCAAAGAACGAAACACAGAACGAAGUGCCACGAAGCUGGCUGCCAGGAAGUUUUGUAGGGACAAUGAGUAGAAGAAAAGCAGAUCCCUUUGGGGUGGGCCAAGGGCUUUGGUUCUUUGAAAUGCAGAAUCCACCCACCCCUGGGACUGCAGAGUGCAGAGGCUAGUUGUCUGCUUCCAUCCCCUCAAAGACAAAUGAGCGGGCGGGCUGGCCAGAAAGCCACUCAGGCAUCAUUCUUUAAAGAACCUUUGCAGGGUCAAAGAGGAACGGGUCUAUAGGUGAUGUGUAUCCCCUGCAGAUUCUGGGGAUAGUAUCAGAAUCACUUUCCAGAUGUGUUUAACACUUUGUGGUCACUUAUAUUCCUGCCACUGGCCAUCAGGGCCUUGCCCAUUUAAACUAAUGCCAGUUCUGGCUACCCCUAUUCCCCUGGAUCUAGUUACCCUUAGUUGAGACCAUCAUCUUUAUGCUUUCAGAGUCCUCAAAAAAGAGCUUCUCGCCUGCUCUUCCAAGAUAAGCAAGAGCGUCUGCCCAAGAAGUGACAAAAAGAGAAGGGGGUGCAAGUGGAGGUGGAGGGUGGGGAGGAGGGUGAGAAAGAAUAAUAACUAGGAAAGUUCUCCUGUUGAGAACUCACACUUAUUUCCAGAGCUGGUUAAUAUCUUUGUGCUUGUAUCUAAAUAAAGUGCCAGUUUUAAACUGCUACUGAAAAACAAAAUUAGAAAGCAGGCCUAAAUCUAACAGCAUAUCUUUAAAGAUAAAAAUAAGAAUUGGUGGAAAUUCCACUUUCUGGAUACUUACCCUACAGGUUUAAAAGUAGCCUCUGCCUACAAGGAUCAAGGUAGAACCUAAGUCAGAAUCUAGCACAAUCUCCACAACCAAAAACAUCAGGGUGCCUUGAGAUUGCUUCCCUAACUUUUCCAUAGAAAAUCUACAGAACCAAGAUGGGGGAACGGGGUCAUCUCCAAUCCAGUUGUUUGAGUUCAGCAAUUCAAGGUUUGUCCUGUUCAGAUCAAGAGGUCCUACAAAAGAUAGAGACUAGAGCUAAGAAGCACCCAAAGAGUAACCUCAUAAAACUUAGGAGGUAUAAAAAAGGAGAAGUCCACUGUCUCUCUGAAACUCAA